GGCCUUGUGGCCCAAUGGAUAAGGCGCCUGACUACGGAUCAUGAGAUUCGAGGUUACAGUCCUGACAGGGUCU
Molecule: transfer RNA, 73 nt
Filed under: Nematostella vectensis (starlet sea anemone)
Lineage: Eukaryota; Metazoa; Cnidaria; Anthozoa; Actiniaria; Edwardsiidae
Rfam family: tRNA
About the family: Transfer RNA (tRNA) molecules are approximately 80 nucleotides in length. Their secondary structure includes four short double-helical elements and three loops (D, anti-codon, and T loops). Further hydrogen bonds mediate the characteristic L-shaped molecular structure. tRNAs have two regions of fundamental functional importance: the anti-codon, which is responsible for specific mRNA codon recognition, and the 3' end, to which the tRNAs corresponding amino acid is attached (by aminoacyl-tRNA synthetases). tRNAs cope with the degeneracy of the genetic code in two manners: having more than one tRNA (with a specific anti-codon) for a particular amino acid; and 'wobble' base-pairing, i.e. permitting non-standard base-pairing at the 3rd anti-codon position.
Source: Rfam by way of RNAcentral